GAUGAACGCUGGCGGCGUGCCUAAUACAUGCAAGUCGAGCGAACAGACGAGGGCUUGCUCCUCUGACGUUAGCGGCGGACGGGUGAGUAACACGUGGAUAACCUACCUAUAAGACUGGGAUAACUUCGGGAAACCGGAGCUAAUACCGGAUAAUAUAUUGAACCGCAUGGUUCAAUAGUGAAAGACGGUUUUGCUGUCACUUAUAGAUGGAUCCGCGCCGCAUUAGCUAGUUGGUAAGGUAACGGCUUACCAAGGCAACGAUGCGUAGCCGACCUGAGAGGGUGAUCGGCCACACUGGAACUGAGACACGGUCCAGACUCCUACGGGAGGCAGCAGUAGGGAAUCUUCCGCAAUGGGCGAAAGCUUGACGGAGCAACGCCGCGUGAGUGAUGAAGGUCUUCGGAUCGUAAAACUCUGUUAUUAGGGAAGAACAAAUGUGUAAGUAACUAUGCACGUCUUGACGGUACCUAAUCAGAAAGCCACGGCUAACUACGUG
RNAcentral lists this ribosomal RNA (496 nucleotides) under uncultured bacterium. RNAcentral's name for it is "partial 16S ribosomal RNA". It matches the Rfam family "Bacterial small subunit ribosomal RNA", at positions 28 to 507 of the family's 1533-position model. The record is from RNAcentral.